UAUAAUUUUCAAUUUAUAAAAUUUNNCCGAUGAAUGCCUCGGCUCGGGUUA
Molecule: ribosomal RNA, 51 nt
Filed under: Hematodinium sp. FE24,1b
Lineage: Eukaryota; Dinophyceae; Syndiniales; Syndiniaceae
Description: partial 5.8S ribosomal RNA
Source: RNAcentral